Molecule: long non-coding RNA, 1084 nt
Organism: Wasmannia auropunctata (little fire ant)
Lineage: Eukaryota; Metazoa; Arthropoda; Insecta; Hymenoptera; Formicidae
Exons: 2
Source: RefSeq, a predicted model, not a curated record
GUUGUCGGUCGCUGUUGGUGUUGUCGGCGGGUUAAGACAGGUUAGGGUCGCUCGAUGAGCUGGCAACAGAGUAGAUUUUUGUGUUUCCUCUGAAGAAACCCGUGAUCGUCCUGAGCAUCGUACGCGGCAGCCGUGCUUAUGAUCGGCCGAUGGACCAGCAGCGAAGGAAAGUCGCCGCGUAUUCGAGGUUGAAUAUACGAUUUUUGGAAUUCUGCGCUGCACAUUCACGGUGUGAAUAUUUCGAUGUAGAAAAUAAUUGCAGCGUUUAAGUGUGUUAAAAAUAAAUUGUUCAUGGAAUUUUGUUUGGAAUAUCAGAAAUUGAAAGGACCUGUUCUCUGAGGAAACUGAGGUAUAAUCGCGAAUAAACGUUUUAAUGGAUGAAAAUAACGCGAUAAGCAAUAUCGUAUAACUUUUAAUUUUAGCAAAAUUUUAAGCAAUACUUGGUGGUAAAAUCGAAGGAAGCAAUCGAAUGUAUUCUGCUGUCGAUCAAAUUUAUCUAUUCUGCAAAAUACUCCCAGAUAACGAAAUCAAAAUUGGGACGUAAGACAUUUUAAAGACAAAUUUUUGCAAAAGACGUCUUAUGUCUUGAUUUUAAACUUCAUAUUAUGAAAUGUCAUGUCAUGUAAAUUUUAUUAUAUAAAUAUUUAUAUAAAAAUAUAUGUAUACUAAUUAUGUAAUAUAUAUAUAUAUAAAAUUAGUAUAUACAUAUAUAUACAUAUAUCAAAAUAUGCAUGCACGCACAAUUAAUUAACUGCAUUCAUGCAAUUAUAUUGCAUUAUUAUAGUUUUGAUUCUUAUAUAUAUAUUGCAGCUUCGCUGCAACUGCAUCUGCAACCGCAACGUCCAUCUAUAGCCUCGUUAAUUAUUCUUCAAUCGUUGAUAGAUAUAUAGGAAAUUUCGAUCUUCUUCUACAAUUUAUUUUAUGCGUUACUUAGCAUUCAUCAGUGUCGUUUACAAAGUCUGAAAAAUUUUCAUUUAUUACAUAAUAGUAUGGCGCUUUGAAAUUAGUAAAACUAUAAGUAUUGUAAUAGCAGAUUAUGCGAAUUAAAACAGAACAUAUGUAUUAUUAAAAAAUAAUAAUUAAA